This 468-nucleotide ribosomal RNA is filed under the name uncultured bacterium. Its description in RNAcentral is "partial 16S ribosomal RNA". It matches the Rfam family "Bacterial small subunit ribosomal RNA", at positions 28 to 507 of the family's 1533-position model. The record is from RNAcentral.
GACGAACGCUGGCGGCGUGCUUAACACAUGCAAGUCGAACGGAAAGGCCCUGCUUUUGUGGGGUGCUCGAGUGGCGAACGGGUGAGUAACACGUGAGUAACCUGCCCUUGACUUUGGGAUAACUUCAGGAAACUGGGGCUAAUACCGGAUAGGAGCUCCUGCUGCAUGGUGGGGGUUGGAAAGUUUCGGCGGUUGGGGAUGGACUCGCGGCUUAUCAGCUUGUUGGUGGGGUAGUGGCUUACCAAGGCUUUGACGGGUAGCCGGCCUGAGAAGGUGACCGGCGACAGUGGGACAUAGAUACGGGCCGGAGUGCGACGGGAGGGAGCAGUGGGGGGGGUGGCGGAGUGGGCGGGAGUCUGAUGCAGCAGCGCCGCGUGCGGGAUGACGGGCGUCGGGAGGGGAAAAGCUAUCGCCUGUAACGGAGCGAGAGUGAGGGUGAUGGGUAAAGGAACAACGACUAACUACGUG